AUGAGCUUUCCCAAAUUUAUUGACCACUUCUUUCAAGUCAUUUGUCUGCACCUCUCGGGUCAUGAUUUCCAUCAUCUUCCGGAUUUGGCGGACCUGUUGGUGCUGAGCAUAAGAGGUCUUCCGUAUCUGAUUGUUGUGUUUUUUAGUAAAACCAACACAGAACAGACGAAGCAAGUAACCAUCGGUAGUCUUGACAUCAACAUGAGCUUCAAUCAUUGUCUGCCACUUUUUGACCAUGGAACACAUUUUGUCACGGGUAAGAUCCAUGCCAUGGAAGUUAGUCAGGCAGUUUUUGCCCUGAACAUCUUCAGUAAUCAGCUUGAAUUUUCUAAAUGCAACUUCAUCAUUCUGCAAAUCAGCAAGACUCACUUCAAACACACGACCCUUGAGACCAUCAGAUGCAAUUUUGGUUCCUUGGGUUCUGGUGAUGAGCGUCUUUCCAAUAUUUCUUAUAUUGAACAUAGCAGGUGCUUUCACAUCAUACCAAUCUUUCUUAGAAAAUGGAUCAACCACUUUCUACUUGGCUCCCUUUUUGCUACCUUUCGUAAGGCGCUUGUUCUUGCCAACCGCCAUGGUGCUGAUCAGAGAGCCAAAAGGCUCUCUCUGCACUUUAAAUCUUGAUGUCCUCUUAGUAUCCAUUUCUGUUUUCUUAUCUGUUCACACUACAUGCUGCAUUUUGAGUGUAUUUCAUUAACUCUUAUGCUGCCAUAAAUUCUUAUUAAAUCAUAAAAUGCCCAGGCAUCAGGUCAUGUUAGGAAUAAAUAUGGUGGGACAAGAGAAUAUAGAUCCAGAAUCGCUCCAUGCAAGAACUCAUUUAAAAAAAAUCUUCCUCCCCUGGUCUCCAGGAAGAGUCAGGAGGUAAUAUUCAAAAGGCAGCUGAUGCAAGGAAUUAGGGCAAAAUUUGAUCUAGGAAUUGUGGAAACAGCAACAGGAAUAGUAGCACCUAAAAGAAGUUGGAUGUGAAUUGAAUGAUGCCAGAAUCCAGGUUGAGGACUAAAAGGUGACACUAUAGGAAUUAUUUAAAACGAAAUCCGUUACCUAAAAUCACCCAGCUAAGAUAUUAUACUAACCUUCAGGAGUCAAAAACUAGAAACAAAAUCUAAAUGUAAAAGAAAGAGAUUGGUAGGAACAGUUUGAAUUCCCAGAUAAUAAUGAUAUUUUUUAAAAGUUAGUAUAACUUCCAAAGAUUUAAUAUUAGUUUGUUCUUUCAAUGGGAACACAUGUUCAUUCGUAUUUGAAAGAAAGAUUGGGAGAUUUCUUCAAUAACUUAUAUUCCUGUACUGUUGAUUUAUGAAAGGAAAACUUGGCUGUGCUCUUAAGCUUCUUUAGUGAUUUUUUAAUAUAUUCAGGAUCAUAUGUGUAAAAAAUAAAAUAUCUCUUGUGAACACAAAUGAAAAAUCCCUAACAAAAUACAGUAGUCCCCCUUAUCUGUGGUUUCACUUUCUGUAUCUUUGAUUACUUACAGUUAACAGUGGUGUGAAAAUAUUAAAUGGAAAACUUCAGAGAUAAACAAUUCAUCCAUCUUAAUGUUGUUUUGAGCAGUGUGAUGAAAUCCUGUAAUGUCCCGUUUCACUCUGCCUAGGAUGUGAAUUAUCCCUUUCUUCAGUGUAUCCACCCUGUAUAUGCUACUUGCCUGUUAGUCACUUAGUAGCCAUCUCUGUCAUCAGAUCAACUGUCACAGAAUUGUCUUACUUGCAUUCAAGCAACUCUCAUUUUACUUAAUAAUGAUCCCAAAGCACAAAAGUAAUGAUGCUGGCAUAUUGUUAUUAUUGUUCUGUUUUAGUAUUCAUUAUCAUUAUUAAUCUUAAGUAUACUUAAAAUAUAAAUUAAAAUUUAUCAUAGGUACAUACAUAGGAAAACACACAGUAUACACAGGAUUUGGUACUAUCAGCAAUUUCAAGCAUCCACUGGGAGUCAUGAAACAUAUUCCCCUGAGGAUAUGAGGGGACUCCUGUAUUAGGAAAUGAAAUCUAACAAUAUAUUAAAAAUAUUCUAUUAAAUAACUAAAUUAGAUUUAUCCCAGAUAUGCAAGCCUGGUUCAACAUUCAAAAAUCAGUGUAAUUGAUAUGGUUUGGCUCUGUGUCCACACCCACAUCUCAUCUCAAAUUUUAAUCCCCAUGUGUCAAGGGAGGGACCUGUAAUCCCCACAUGUCUAGGGAAGGAGAUGAUUGGAUCAUGGGGGCAGUUCCCCCAUGCUGUUCUCAUGAUAGAGAGUUCUCACGAGAUCUGAUUGUUCUAUUAGUGGCAGUUUCCCCUGCUCUUCACUCUCCUGACACCUUGUGAAGAAGGUGCCUGCUUCCCUUCCACCACGAUUGGAGUAAGUUCCCUGAGGACUCCCCAGACAUGUGGAACUGGGAGUCAUUUAAACCUCAUUCCUUUACAUGGAAGUUCUUUGUAGCAGUGCGAAAACAAACUGAUACAGUAAAUUGGUACUACAGAGAGUAUAGCACUGCUGUGAAGAUACCUGAAAAUGUGAAAGCGACUUUGGAACUGGGUAAUAGGCAGACAUUGGAACAGUUUGGAGGGCUCAGAAGAAGAUAGGAACAUGUGGGAAAGUUUUGAACUUCCUGAAGACUUGUUGAAUGGUGUUAAUCAAAAUGCUGAGAGUGAUAUGGGCAAUGAAGUACAGGCUGAGAUAUUCUCAGAUGGAGAUGAGGAACUCAUUGGGAACUAGAUCAAAUGUCACUCUUGUUAUGCUUGACAAAGAGACUCGCAGCAUUUUGCCCCUGCUCUAGAGACUUGUGGAACUCUGAACUGAAGAGAGAUGAUCAGAAAUUAUAACUUAUGUUUAAAAGGGAAGUAGAGCAUAGAAGUUUGGAAAAUUUGCAAUUUGACAAUGUAACAGAAAAGAAAAACUCAUUUUCUGGGGAGCUAUUCAAGCCUGCUGCAAAAAUUUUUGUAGGUGACCAGGAGCUGAAUGUUAAUCACCAAGACAAUGGGGAAAAUGUCUCCAGGGCAUGUCAGGGACCUUCACUGCAACACUUCCCAUCACGGGCCCAGAGGCCUAGGAGAAUAAUAUGUUUUUUUCAGUGGCUCCUAGAGCCCCGUUGCUGCUCUGUGAAGCCCCAGGACUAGGCAUCCUGUGUCCCAGCUGUGGCUAAAAAGGGCCAAUGUACAGCUCAGGCCAUUGCUACAGAGGGUAGAAGCCCCAAGCCUUGGCAUAUCUUCUAUGUGGUGUUGGGUCUGAGCCCUCCAAACUGUUACAAUGUCUGACUGUUACCCAGUUCCAAAGUCACUUUCACAUUUUCAGGUAUCUUUAUAGCAGUGCUGUAUUCUCUGUGGUACAAAUUUACUGUAUCAGUUUGUUUUCAUACUGCUAUAAAGAACUUCCCUGAGACAGGGUAAUUUGUAAAGGAAUGAGGUUUAAUUGACUCCCAGUUCCACAUGACUGAGGAGGCCUCAGGGAACUUACAAUCGUUGUGGAAGUCAAGAAUUGAGGUUAGGGAAUCUCCACAUAGAUUUCAGUAGGUGUAUGGAAAAGCCUGGAUGUCCAGGCAGAAGUCUGCUGCAGGGGCAGAGCCCUCAUGAAGAACCUCUGCUGGGGCAGUGAGGAGGGGAAAUGUGGGGUUGGAACCUCCAGAGAGUCCCCAUGGGGCACUGUUUAGUGGAGCUGUGAGAAGAGGGCCACCAUCCUCUAGACCCCAAAAUAGUAGAUCUACUGACAGCUUGCACUAUGCACCUAAAAAAGCUGCACUCAGUGCCAGGCCAUGAGGGAACUGCCCAAGGUUGUGGGAGUCCACCCCUUGCAUCAGCAUGCCCCGAAUGUGAAACAUGGAGUCAAAGGAGAUCAUUUUGGAGCAUUAAGAUUUAAUGACUGGCCCACUGAAUUUUGAACUUUCAUGGGGUCUGUAGCUGGGUUUUUUUUGGCCAAUUUCUCCCAUUUGAAAAGGGAGCAUUUAGCCAAUUCCUGUACCCCCAUUGUAUCUAGGAAGUAACUAACUUACUUUUGAUUACUUUGUCUCAAAUGUGUAUUUGGGCUAUGGACUUUUGAGUUAAUGCCAAAAUGAGUUAAAACUUUGGGUGACUGUUGGAAAGGCAUUAUUUGUUUUGAAAUGUGAGAAGACAUGAGAUUUGGGAGUGGCCAGGGCUGAAUGAUAUGAUUUGGCUCUGUGUCCUCACUCAAAUCUCAUCUUAAUUUUUAAUUCCCACGUGGUGAGGGAGGGAGGUGAUAGGAUUAUGGGGGCGGUUUCCCCCAUGCUGUUUUUGUGAUAGUGAGUGAGUUCUCACAAGAUCCAGUGAUUUUAUAAGUGGUGGUUUCCCCUGCUCUUUGCUCUCCUGCCACCUUGCGAAAAGGUGCGUGAUUCCCCUUCUGCCAUAAUUAUGUUUCCCGAGGCCUCCCCAGCCAUGCAGAACUGUGAGUCAAUUAAACCUCUUUACUUUAUAAAUUACUCACCCUCAGGGAAGUUCUUUAUACCAUUGUGAGAGUGGACUAAUACAGUAAUCCAUCAAAUUAACACAAAAAAACUUAUUUGUUUGUGUGUGUGUGCAUGUGUGUUAUGAAUGCAAUGAUGGAUUACAUAAAUUGAUUUUUCUUGCUACUAUUGAUUUCUAAUUUCGUUCCACUGUGGUAAACAAACACAUGGGGUAUGAUUUUUAUCUUCUUUAAAUUAGUUAAGAUACAUUUUGUACCCAAGCAUGGUGGUUCAUGCCUGUAAUCCCAACACUUUGGGAGGUUGAGGUAGGCAGAUCACUUGAGCUCAGAAGUUUGAUACAAGCCUGGGCAACAUGGAGAAAAACUGUCUCUACAAAACUUACAAAAAUCAGCUAGGCAUGAUGGUACACACAUGUACUCCCA
RNAcentral lists this long non-coding RNA (4795 nucleotides) under Macaca fascicularis (crab-eating macaque). RNAcentral describes it as "lncRNA (ENSMFAG00000064266.1)". Lineage: Eukaryota; Metazoa; Chordata; Mammalia; Primates; Cercopithecidae. The record is from RNAcentral.